AGAUGUUUCUUUCUAACAAUGGUCAGAUUGGCCGAGCUACACUCGAAUCUGAUCAUUCAUUUGUCAAAUGUACUGAAUUCUGACAUGUUAAUGGUUGAACCUAACAAGGAUUUUCAGUGGAGGCACCACACGCCUACUGAAGAGGUGCCUGGGAUAAAAUUAACUAUUAGAAAUUAUUUGAUGAAAUAAUUGGUUAAAAAUCUAUCCAUAGGUGCACAA
RNAcentral lists this long non-coding RNA (219 nucleotides) under Elaeis guineensis (African oil palm). Its description in RNAcentral is "long non-coding RNA (EGUI_LNC048319)". Lineage: Eukaryota; Viridiplantae; Streptophyta; Magnoliopsida; Arecales; Arecaceae. The record is from RNAcentral.